GACUACAUCCAAACAAAGUCUAACUUCUUUCAGGAAGCUGAGUGAGGUGCGACUGCGACUUGUUGGGGACCCUGAGCACUGAACUUGGUUCUGUCAGAGCCUCAGGAAGCUGAAAAUGUGGACUCUGCCACUCUGUCUGAAUAGAAGUUCAGAAAACAGAAACACAGACAGGUCACAAGUUCAGGCCUUGUUUAGUUGCGAAAAGUGAAAACUUUUCGGAACUGUAGCACUUUUGUUUGUUUGUGACAAAUAUUAUCCAAUUAUGGACUAACUAAGAUCAAAAGAUUCAUCUCGUGAUUUACAGCUAAACUAUGUAAUUAGUUUUUAUUUUCGUCUAUAUUUAAUGUUUAAUGCAUGUGUCACAAGAUUUGAUGUGACGGAGAAUCUUGAAAACUUUUUGGUUUUCAGGGUGAACUAAACAAGGCCUCAGUUCAGAAACAGAAACAAGAAGGUUACAAGUUCAGAAAGUCCUAAUAAUUCCUAAACAACACAAACACUAUCUUCUCGUCGCCAUUUUCAUCUU
This 523-nucleotide long non-coding RNA is filed under the name Sorghum bicolor (sorghum). RNAcentral's name for it is "long non-coding RNA (SBIC_LNC003831)". Lineage: Eukaryota; Viridiplantae; Streptophyta; Magnoliopsida; Poales; Poaceae. The record is from RNAcentral.